GCUUGUCUCAAAGAUUAAGCCAUGCAUGUCUAAGUACAAGCCUCAGUAAGGUGAAACCGCGAAUGGCUCAUUAAAUCACACCUAAUCUACUGGAAAGUUACUAGUUACUUGGAUAACUGAGGUAAUUCUUGAGCUAAUACAUGCGAAAAAUCUCGACUCACGGAGAGAUGCUUUUAUUAGAUCAAAACCAAACGGCUUCGGCCGUCUCAUUGGUGAUUCAUGAUAACUUUACGGAUCGCAUGGCCUUGCGCCGGCGACGGUUCAUUCAAAUUUCUGCCCUAUCAACUUUCGAUGGUAAGGUAUUGGCUUACCAUGGUUUCAACGGGUAACGGGGAAUUAGGGUUCGAUUCCGGAGAGGGAGCCUGAGAAACGGCUACCACAUCCAAGGAAGGCAGCAGG
This 399-nucleotide ribosomal RNA is filed under the name Eudiaptomus graciloides. Its description in RNAcentral is "partial small subunit ribosomal RNA". It matches the Rfam family "Eukaryotic small subunit ribosomal RNA", at positions 30 to 432 of the family's 1831-position model. Lineage: Eukaryota; Metazoa; Arthropoda; Copepoda; Calanoida; Diaptomidae. The record is from RNAcentral.